RNAcentral lists this ribosomal RNA (468 nucleotides) under uncultured bacterium. RNAcentral's name for it is "partial 16S ribosomal RNA". It matches the Rfam family "Bacterial small subunit ribosomal RNA", at positions 28 to 507 of the family's 1533-position model. The record is from RNAcentral.
GACGAACGCUGGCGGCGUGCUUAACACAUGCAAGUCGAACGGAAAGGCCCUGCUUUUGUGGGGUGCUCGAGUGGCGAACGGGUGAGUAACACGUGAGUAACCUGCCCUUGACUUUGGGAUAACUUCAGGAAACUGGGGCUAAUACCGGAUAGGAGCUCCUGCUGCAUGGUGGGGGUUGGAAAGUUUCGGCGGUUGGGGAUGGACUCGCGGCUUAUCAGCUUGUUGGUGGGGUAGUGGCUUACCAAGGCUUUGACGCGUAGCCGGGCUGAGAGGGUGAGCGGCCACAUCGGGACGGGGCUGCGACCCAGACUCCACCGGGACGCAACGGAGGAGAAUAUAGCACAAUGGACGGAGGGCUGAUGUAACACCGCCGCGUGGGGGGUGACGGGCAUCGGGUUGUAUACCAAAUCCCCCUGAGACGAGGCGUGAGUGACGGUAAUGGGUGAAGAAGCACCGGCUAACUACGUG